Molecule: long non-coding RNA, 705 nt
Filed under: Trifolium pratense (red clover)
Lineage: Eukaryota; Viridiplantae; Streptophyta; Magnoliopsida; Fabales; Fabaceae
Description: long non-coding RNA (TPRA_LNC012570)
Source: RNAcentral
UUAUACACUUAUUUUAUUUAGACCAACUCAUUUGACUGAACUAGUUAAUUAUAAACUUCACUAAAACAUAGGCUCUUCGGGGGAACUCAAACUCAAUUCUUGAGUGGACUAAUUUCAUAGCCAAACUCGAUUUCCCUUUCUAUUCCUAUUUCCCCUGGUAGGGGGGUUUCCAUAUUCGCAAUCACAAAUAUAAUUAAUGCACCUCACGAUCCAAGGAUAGACACACAAAGAUCUUGGACAAUCACCGGCGCUUUCACAAUCAACUUCUGCAAAGUCAAAUAAAAAUAAAGGAAUAUUACAAACAAACAAAAAAAGAGUAAAAAAUAGAGAAACAAUAAUGUCUAGAAUUACUUACUUCCGUUGAUUACCACAAAAAAUAGAGAAAGAAUAAUUAACAGAGUAAAAAUUUUAGCCAUAUUUUACGCGUUUAAUAAAUAAAAACUUUUCUUUUUUUACAAAAAAUUAAAACUUGGUUGAACAACUUAUAAGUAUAAAUAUGUUGUUUGGUAAAGUUUUUCUAGCUCUUAGAAGUUGAAGAAACCAUUAAUUAAUUGGCGUUAUUAUUAAAUAUUGUCUCUAAGAUAGAUUAAUGUGUCGGUUUAACUUUUAGCUCACUCUAUUGAUCACUUCAUAUUUUGAGCAAACUCAAUUGACCAAUUAACCUUAGUAAAUAUCUCAGUUAAAUUUUUUUAUACUCUUGAAAGG